This 1609-nucleotide long non-coding RNA is filed under the name Homo sapiens (human). RNAcentral's name for it is "HSALNT0005381". The record is from RNAcentral. Lineage: Eukaryota; Metazoa; Chordata; Mammalia; Primates; Hominidae.
CUAAAAGCCACACUAUUCUCUGUAUUGAAGCAUGGAAAAUAGCUUUGUGAUGGCAAGUGGGGGAUUUGGCUGAAGGAGUGAGCAGGAUAAAGACCUCAGAAGACCUCACACACCAUCUAAGGCACUCAGACUGGAGGAUCCUGAUGAUAACAGGGAGUCAGUACAAACGCAGAAUCAAGAAAGAGACACAGAAGAUGCUAUUAGAAGGAUCAUGGGUUGAAGAGGGUAGGACCAGAGGCGGAGACCAAUUAGGAGGCUGUUUGAACAGCCUAGAAGGGAGAUGACCUGGCCUGAAGAGCAAUGACAGCUGGAACAGGUGAGUUCUGGAAUGGUAAGUGGUCAGGAUGGUGUGGAAGAUGUCCACAUCCUAAUCCCCAGAACCUGUGACUGUCAUUUUAAAUGACAAAAGGGACCUUGCAGAUGUGACUAAAUUAAUGAUCUAGAGAUGAGGAGAUUAUUUUAGGUUAUCCAGGGGCCCAGUGUAAUCAUAGGGGUCCUCCACAACAGUGAGUAGGAGGAAGGCAACAUGACGGCAGACACAGAGAUCCAAGUGAUGUGGCUAUAAGCCGAGGAAUGCAGGCCACCUGGAAAAGCUGGAGGGCGGGGAGUGGACUCUCCCCCAGAGCCUCCAGAGGAACUGACCCCGCCGACAGCUUAAGUUUAGUGCACAAAAUUCGUUUCAGAUUUCUGAUCACCACACCUGUAAGAACGAUCCUAAAUUUGUGUUGUGUUAAGCCAUAAAGUUUGUGGUUAAGAGUUGUCCCUCACUAUCUGUGGGGGAUUGUUUCCAGGACCCCCUAAGUAUGCCCAAAUCCAUAUACUCAAGUCCUGAAGUAAUGGCAGGUACAUGUGGAAUCCACUGUAUACACAGGCCUCGCAUCCUGCAAACACUGUAUUUGUGAUCUGCAGUUGAAAAAAAUCUGUGUCUAAGUGGACCCAUGCACUUCAAACCCUUGUUGUUUAAGGGUCGAUGGCAUUUGUUACAUCAACAAUAGGAAGCCAAUACAGAUGGUUAAGACUUUGUGACCAGGUGGUUAUCAAAGAAGGAAAGGGAGGGGUCCCAGAAAGGGUUGAGGAAGAGGUGAGGAUUUUGGCUUGGGUGAUGGGGCUGGCAGUGAGACUAUUACAAUCAGGACUGUGGAUAGUGAGGAGGGGGUGGUUGGGGAAUGGUGGGAUGGUAACGUGUCCUGUCUUGGACAUGGUGAGUCUGAAGUGUGCAUGGGACAUCCAGAAGGAAGGUCUGGAACCUAGGGCAGAACUUGAGAGUGAUCAGUACACACAGGCUCCAAUCUGAAAACUGCUGGGAGAACAUGUGGCCAAGGACAUGGGUUUCCUUUUUUGGCUCAUACUCUGUGAUGUGAGACCAAAAGUCUCUCCUAAAUGCAGCUGUUGGGCACUUAAACCACCCUCCUAGCACCCUUCCUUACUCACUUCCCUCUUUGACAGUGAAUAGAAGCCACAUAGACUCUUCCGAGGAGUACCCAUGUGUCACUUCUGGGACAGGCAGCCUCACUCCUGCCAGGGCCGUGCAGGGCAGUCCACAGGCCAAAGGUCCAAGUAGAUUCAGCGCUGCUGAGUUGCUUCUGGGAUAUAAAAAGGAAAGAGGCCG